UACAUGGUCCGGUGCUGUGUGGAAGACUCGUGAUUUUGUUGUUCUGAUCUUGCACGACAACAAAUCACAGCCAGCCUCACAGCGAGGACUCCCAUCGACCUU
Molecule: microRNA precursor, 102 nt
Organism: Nannospalax galili (Upper Galilee mountains blind mole rat)
Lineage: Eukaryota; Metazoa; Chordata; Mammalia; Rodentia; Spalacidae
Source: Ensembl